UAUUUUUAAACCAAUUAAAAUAAAGGAGAAAUGAGAAAAUUCAUUAAAAUAAAAAAUCAGUGAAAUAAAAUGUGCAAAAAUAAAAAUAAGAUGAAGAAAAAUAAAAUAGAAUUUUAGAAAUUAUUUUGGAUGAAAAAUGAAAUUAAUAUGAAUUUUAAAAGAAAAAAGCAAUUAAAAAUAAUAAAAGAAAAAGAAUUUAAAAUUAGAAAAAC
Molecule: long non-coding RNA, 212 nt
Filed under: Lathyrus oleraceus (garden pea)
Lineage: Eukaryota; Viridiplantae; Streptophyta; Magnoliopsida; Fabales; Fabaceae
Description: Pisum sativum (pea) long non-coding RNA (PSAT_LNC027970)
Source: RNAcentral